RNAcentral lists this ribosomal RNA (226 nucleotides) under uncultured bacterium. RNAcentral describes it as "partial 16S ribosomal RNA". It matches the Rfam family "Bacterial small subunit ribosomal RNA", at positions 538 to 763 of the family's 1533-position model. The record is from RNAcentral.
GCGUUAUCCGGAUUUAUUGGGUUUAAAGGGUGCGUAGGCGGCCCGUUAAGUCAGGGGUGAAAGACGGUGGCUCAACCAUCGCAGUGCCUUUGAUACUGACGAGCUUGAAUACACUAGAGGUAGGCGGAAUGUGACAAGUAGCGGUGAAAUGCAUAGAUAUGUCACAGAGCACCGAUUGCGAAGGCAGCUUACCAUGGUGCAAUUGACGCUGAGGCACGAAAGCGUG